This 709-nucleotide ribosomal RNA is filed under the name uncultured bacterium. RNAcentral's name for it is "partial 16S ribosomal RNA". The record is from RNAcentral.
GGGUUUCAGCCUGCAAUCCGAACUGAGAGCUUGUUUUUGGGAUUUGCUCGACUUCGCAGUUUUGCUUCCCUCUAUUAAAGCCCAUUGUAGUACGUGUGUAGCCCAAGGCAUAAGGGGCAUGAUGAUUUGACGUCAUCCCCGCCUUCCUCCGUAUUUCUACGGCUGUCUGCUAUGAGUUCCCAACUUUACUUGCUGGCAACAUAGCACAGGGGUUGCGCUCGUUGCGGGACUUAACCCAACAUCUCACGACACGAGCUGACGACAACCAUGCACCACCUGUCUUCUUGUCUCCGAAGAGAAGGACUAAUUUCUUAGUCUGUCAAUCAAUGUCAAGCCUUGGUAAGGUUCUUCGCGUUGCGUCGAAUUAAACCACAUACUCCACCGCUUGUGCGGGCCCCCGUCAAUUCCUUUGAGUUUCAGUCUUGCGACCGUACUCCCCAGGCGGGGUACUUAUUGCGUUAACUCCGGCACAGAAGGGGUCGAUACCUCCUACACCUAGUACCCAUCGUUUACGGCCAGGAUUACCGGGGUAUCUAAUCCCGUUCACUCCCCUGGCUUUCGAGCCUCAGUGUCAGUUAUAGUCCAGAAAGCCGCCUUCGCCACUGGUGGUUCCUCCCAAUAUCUACGCAUUUCACCGCUACACUGGGAAUUCCGCUUUCCUCUCCUACACUCAAGAACUCCAGUUUCGGACCCAUCACGGGGUUGAGCC